GGCCCGGGUCCAUAAUGCUUGACAGAUGGGCUAUAGAAUGAGAGAAGCUUGCCAAGGAAAGCAGAUGUCAACGCUGGCACUUUGCGUGACGUGACUUCAUCUUUGAAAACCGUGAAGCAAACUAUGCAAGGUGUUGAUCUCCCGGCAGGCCCUGACAGGAAGUUUCCGCAGCUCUCCACCAAACCCAUUGGAGUGCACAUCAGCCUGACGGAUGGAUGAAUGACACCAGUGAAAAAAGAGCGCUAUCCUCCGGGCUAACCCG
Long non-coding RNA from Puntigrus tetrazona (Sumatra barb), 262 nucleotides. RefSeq lists it as uncharacterized. The transcript has 3 exons. The record is from RefSeq and is a predicted model, not a curated record. Lineage: Eukaryota; Metazoa; Chordata; Actinopteri; Cypriniformes; Cyprinidae.